RNAcentral lists this ribosomal RNA (260 nucleotides) under uncultured bacterium. RNAcentral describes it as "partial 16S ribosomal RNA". It matches the Rfam family "Bacterial small subunit ribosomal RNA", at positions 94 to 354 of the family's 1533-position model. The record is from RNAcentral.
AGUGGCGGACGGGUGAGUAACGCGUGGGUAACCUGCCCUAUACAGGGGGAUAACAGUUAGAAAUGACUGCUAAUACCGCAUAAGCGCACAGGACCGCAUGGUUCGGUGUGAAAAACUGAGGUGGUAUAGGAUGGACCCGCGUCCGAUUAGCUUGUUGGUGGGGUAACGGCUCACCAAGGCGACGAUCAGUAGCCGGCCUGAGAGGGCGACUGGCCACAUUGGGACUGAGACACGGCCCAAACUCCUACGGAAGGCAGCAG